This 407-nucleotide long non-coding RNA is filed under the name Homo sapiens (human). Its description in RNAcentral is "long non-coding RNA NONHSAT223688". Lineage: Eukaryota; Metazoa; Chordata; Mammalia; Primates; Hominidae. The record is from RNAcentral.
GAUGGAGCCUAGGAUGGAUUCAAACUCCUGAGAUGAAAGAGUCCCCUGCCUUAGCCUCCCAAGCAGCAGGGACUACAGGUGCAUGUCACCUUGCCCAGCUCCUGCAAAAUUUGUUUGUAGCAAAGGACGUUUCCAUGUUCUAUCCCAUUAGGUAUCGAUCCUCUCAAUGAAGGCCUUUUUUUCAAUCUAAUAUUUGUGAUAUGGGUGUAUUUGGAUCCUGUAAAGCUAGCCGUACAAUGAUAACUUUGACACAAAAGUGUGGUGCUGUUUGGGGGUUUUGUUUGGGUGGAGGUGAGUGGACAGAGAAGUAACUUGGAAACGAUGUGUAGUAGUGAAGUCAAGCAGAGAGAAGGAUGUGAACAAGGUGGAACUAAAACCGUGUUCUGUUAUUAGGCACCAGAAUCUAA